AUUUAUAUAAUAUAUUUAGUAUAUUUGACUUCCAAUCAUAAAGUUUAACUCUUAGUUAAUAUGAAUA
Molecule: transfer RNA, 67 nt
Filed under: Actias dubernardi
Lineage: Eukaryota; Metazoa; Arthropoda; Insecta; Lepidoptera; Saturniidae
Description: tRNA-Gly
Source: RNAcentral